Zophobas morio is the source of this 1247-nucleotide long non-coding RNA. RefSeq lists it as uncharacterized. The record is from RefSeq and is a predicted model, not a curated record. The transcript has 7 exons. Lineage: Eukaryota; Metazoa; Arthropoda; Insecta; Coleoptera; Tenebrionidae.
AUGGUAAAAACACAGUUUUUGAAAGCAAUGCUCUUCCCUUUUGUAGACGGAUGGCUAGUCACCUUAAUCAUCUAUAGACAAAAAUUUACUAAAAAAUCACAGGGUGACGCUAAUAGCAAUUGGGUGUCAAGUUGGUAAUUUUAUAUAACUCGGAGAACACCUUAACUGACUUUGCAAAGUCUUAAACCAAAACAAGCAAGAUGGAUUUGGCUUGGUGGUGGGGAACUUAAGCUAUAGCUUUUUAAGAAAAAACUAUUUUUAUUUUUUUAAAAUUUAUUUGUUCUUUUAAAAGCUAACUUUUAGAUGGCAAGCAGAUAAGCCGAAUCGAGAACGUAGCUAUUUAAAAUCCAUUUAUAAACUGCGAUUAUAUUUGAAACUUAGAACUAAAAGAGGGAAUUAGCAAGUGCAACAAAUGGCAAUCUAAAUGAGAGAUCACAAAACCUUUAACUGCUUAAUCUGUCUUUCCAAAGCGUUGACAGUUGAGUAUUUUUACAUGUAACAAGUAAAACAAAGUUGCGAGGACACCCUUGAGGGUUGUACGGCAGCUCGACCUUUUCAACUAAGCUUCUUCAUAAACCUCGCUUAAGUUCAAUUUGCAAGGGUAGAUCUAUGAAAAUUGACACUAAACGGCGGGCUUGGUCUUUGAAAAAAUCUCUGAAUCCAAUUCUGAAACCAACUAUUGGGCUGUAAAGUACAGUUUAACGUAGGAAGUGUUUUCGCAGAAAAAAAACAAAUCUAUUUUUAGCUUCAGAGUUUUGUCCGUUAAAGGGUGUCAAAAGGUUCCAUUCUGGUCUUUGUAGCUGACCAUUACUCAACCAAGAAGUAGUGAUGAUCUUUCGCACGCACCUAUUCUUCAAUUAGCGUACAAUUAAAAGUCAUCCUCCAAGGAAUAAGCCCAUGCUAUGAACGCAUACGGCAGUACCUGCCGUAUAUUACCAUGUAAAGGAGAAGGUACUUGGGUAUGAAUUUUCCACGGGAUAAUUUGGCCAAAUAAAUUUAGUUUACGAGUGUUGGAAGUUCUUCUUCUCCUAGAGAUAAAUAAGGACUGUGACUUGGAACUGCAAUUCAUAGCGAGGUCGUCAGAGUAUUGAGCGAUAGAUAUUGCUUAAGCUGGGGCUACAGGAUACAUACAAUGAACAGUAAUAGUCACAUUGAAGCUCCUUUUGGUGCACCGGUAGUUUGUCUUUGUUAGAACUCGAUGCCUUAAUAAAUGAUUUCCUGCCCCUUGAAGUGGGCGUUCACUAGUA